GAUGAACGCUGACGGCGUGCCUAAUACAUGCAAGUCGAGCGAACGGACGAGAAGCUUGCUUCUCUGAUGUUAGCGGCGGACGGGUGAGUAACACGUGGAUAACCUACCUAUAAGACUGGGAUAACUUCGGGAAACCGGAGCUAAUACCGGAUAAUAUUUUGAACCGCAUGGUUCAAAAGUGAAAGACGGUCUUGCUGUCACUUAUAGAUGGAUCCGCGCUGCAUUAGCUAGUUGGUAAGGUAACGGCUUACCAAGGCAACGAUGCAUAGCCGACCUGAGAGGGUGAUCGGCCACACUGGAACUGAGACACGGUCCAGACUCCUACGGGAGGCAGCAGUAGGGAAUCUUCCGCAAUGGGCGAAAGCCUGACGGAGCAACGCCGCGUGAGUGAUGAAGGUCUUCGGAUCGUAAAACUCUGUUAUUAGGGAAGAACAUAUGUGUAAGUAACUGUGCACAUCUUGACGGUACCUAAUCAGAAAGCCACGGCUAACUACGG
This 496-nucleotide ribosomal RNA is filed under the name uncultured bacterium. Its description in RNAcentral is "partial 16S ribosomal RNA". It matches the Rfam family "Bacterial small subunit ribosomal RNA", at positions 28 to 506 of the family's 1533-position model. The record is from RNAcentral.